UACGGAGGAUGCAAGCGUUAUCCGGAUUUAUUGGGUUUAAAGGGUGCGCAGGCGGAAAAAUAAGUCAGUGGUGAAAUCCUGCAGCUUAACUGUAGAAUUGCCGUUGAUACUGUUAUUCUUGAGUGUGGUCAAGGUAGGCGGAAUGUGUAAUGUAGCGGUGAAAUGCUUAGAUAUUACACAGAACACCGAUUGCGAAGGCAGCUUACUGGGCCAUUACUGACGCUCAUGCACGAAAGCGUGGGGAUCGAACAGGAUUAGAAACCCCAGUAGUCC
Molecule: ribosomal RNA, 273 nt
Filed under: uncultured prokaryote
Description: partial 16S ribosomal RNA
Rfam family: Bacterial small subunit ribosomal RNA
Source: RNAcentral